AAUACGAAAUCUUCAGUAGCUGUUAAGGAUCUGUUUCGACUGAAAAACGUCAUUUUUAUUAUUUUAUCAGCCUAUGUACAUCUGGAACUUACUGAAAAUUUCUUCCUUUGUUUAAUCGAAGUAAGUAGAUUAGAUAUAUUUUCAGAUAUGUAUUAGUAUUGAUCUGUUUGAGUUAUUAAAUUUUAAUAAGAUAUGUUAGGAAUGUGAAUCAUAGGUAGAUCGAACACGAUUCAUUUAAAUAGCUUUCAAAUUACUAAUAUAUUGUUCAAUUCGGUAGUUACUUUAUAAUUGAUAACUUAAAGAGGCGAUGAAAAUGUCGGCUUUCGAUAACAGGUGUCAUAAAACUUGUUGUCUAUAGUUUUAAUCCAGUACUGGGCCUACAACUCGGCUUGUAUAGGAGUGUAAAACCGCCUACGAAAAAAAUAGUUUAUGAAUAGAAUUUAGAGGCAAAUAAACUUAUUCAAAAACCGUAUGAACGAUGUUUGCUUAGUGGAACAUUGCCGGCACAGUCUUUAUAUUCUCAGACUUAUACAAUAUGUGACUCGGCACCUCUCGGCGCAGGAUGUCGUCAGUAUAGUAUACAACAAUUAAAAUAGCUUGCUUUUGUUGUGGCGAAAUAUUUUUUCCAAGACCAUAGUAGUCCUAUAAUCUUGAGCACAUAAAUAUACAAGGAUGAAUGAAGAAACUAAUAUCCAAAAAACCGGGCGACAGUUUAGGAUUACUGCUCCUGAAGAUUUACAGGAAGAGGCAAGAAAAACUAUUGCGGUCAUGGAAGAGCAGAAGCAAGUCAAAGCCCUUAUGACCAACGACAAUGAUUGGGCAGCUAGUUUGGGCAACUGGAAAAUGAAAAUGAGACGAAAAUCCACAACAAAAACUUUAGAGGAGGAAGAGCAUGGCGAAGAAUUACCAAAUAAACAAUCAAGCAAAACAUUUGAUCAUAUAAUAAAAACAAAUAGAAUACGAAAUAUGUAUCCCUAUGGUGAUGAGAUAGAAAGUGAGCAACCAAAAAAGAAAAGUGAACCUGAGGUGAUAAAUAAAGAUGAAAUACCUGAUUGGGAUGGAGGAUUUGAAAAAAAAGAAGAGAAGAAAGUGUGGAAGCCAAAGGUGCCGUUUCAACCAUCUAAACCUGAAGAAAAAAAGCCAAAAGCGUCUACGAAAUACUCAUCCCCAAAAUCCUCAGUUCGGAGUGUGUUUUUAAAGGAUGAUUCGCCAAAAACCAAUUAUGGAUUUACUACUGCGGAAGACACUUUUUCGGGAUCCCCGAAUAAAUUCUCAGAUAGUUCAGUUGUCAAAAAUGAAGUGCCAAUCACUUCUCUAAAGAAUAAUGUUUUAUCUAAGGAACCACCUAGCAGCCCAAGAAAUGGACAUAAACACCCACCUGUGACACCCCGUGGUAAGGGGAAUGUUUCAGCCAAAGGGAAAUUCUUUGAAGAAAAAUUUAAAGAGCAGCCCUCAUCAUCACCCCCUCCCGUUCAACCUAAACCAAUUGAAACUUCGCCCUACCGCUUUUCUAUUGAUAAACAAACAUCAGAUGAUGAACCUCGUCUAAUUCGACGAGGAUCUCCUGACUCUGGAAUUGAUGGAGGUGCUAAUUUUGGUGGUUCAUCCACACCUGGAUCUGUUAAAACGACAGAUGAUUAUGUUGAUCUAUCAGAAGCUAAUAUGGCCGAAUUAAAAAGAUCAAAAUUAAACUCUUCUCCAAAAAAUGGAGCAGGCGAAAAGCUUUUUCACGAAAAGAAUAUUAGAAUCAAUUUAAACGGAAUAACUACUAAAAAGUUUGGCUUCACUUUAAGAGGCGGCAGAGAGGAUAAUCAACCUUUACAUAUAGGAAAGGUGCAAAUGGGGUCUGCAGCAGAUAUUAAUGAAUUAGAAGAAGGUGAUGAACUCGUGACUGUUAAUAAUAAACCCGUAGCAGAUCGUAAUAGGAAUUCCAUCGAAGAUCUGAUCUCAUCUAUCGAAAAGGAGAAUUCCCCAUCAGUAACCCUAACUAUAAGACGUUCUAUGUCUAAAGACGAAAUGUGCGCGUUUUCCGAUUCGGAAGAAGGCAGCAUGGUGGAACAUAAUAUAAGUGAAACAGAGCACCAACAAGAGGUUGCUCACUUAUCUUCAACCGAUCAAAUCCCGCGUCAAGAUGAAUGUCGGGAUUCAGUCAAGAAUCCCGUCGCUGAAAGCGACGUCAUUGUUGAAGAGGAUGACAUUGAGGAGCCUCCUCUACCUGAUACCCUACCGCCAGAGCCUGAUUGGUCAACUAUGCCGCAAAGAAAAUUGUCAAAUGCCUCCUUAGAGGACCUUCUUCCCGAUCCAGUUGUUGAAGAGUCUCAGCCGCCGUUAUCGAUUAAAGAAGAAAUGCUUAAGAAAAAAUCCUUUUUCUUGGGUAGACCUAUUGAUCAGUUACAAGAAUACGCUCAAUUAAAGACUAUCAAUAGCACGGCCGAUCGCGACUGUGUUCCGUGUUUUGACAAGUCAAUUAUUCAAUCUUCUUCAAUUGUUGAUGACCUUUUAAAAAAGAGACCAGAAGAGAAAACUUGGCCCUCGCCACCUCCCGCACCUGAAAAGACACCGGCCGAAACACUUUAUAACUAUAUUGACGAAGAGCCUCCUCCGUUCAAAGAGAAACCAAAUAUGAUGUUUCAAGAACAGAAACGCUCAACUCUCCCAAGAGACUUCGGUAGUGAUCGAUAUUCCACCUGGAACGAUAAGAAAAGCCGUAAAGAGUCAGUAGGUGACGAAAUUGAAGAAAUGAUAAGUCACGCUCAAGACGCCUUAGGUUCAGAGAGGAAUAGGACUUUCAUGGAAGAGUUAUCUGAACACAAUAAACCUGCAAGUUACCCACCAAAAAGUUCAAUGCCUGAAAAUGAGCGCCAUAACGAAAAACAAAUGAAGGAACCGAAACAUACCCCUUUCCGAAGACAAUUUGUUGAUGAAGAUUUUACACGUAAACCUCAACCCAGUCAAUCAAAUCUCCCAGAGUAUAAACUAGAAUCUAGCGAUUUCACAUCACCUAAACUAUCAGGAAUAGGACGAAUAAAUGAGACUGUAGAUAGAAGCAAGCAACCAAAGCAGCUAUUUCCAUCAAAGAGAUCUUUUGAAGUUCAAACUGACAGAAAAAAAAUGCCAAUGCCUUAUAGACCUGAAGCUCGACACUUACAAGCAUCCUCAUCUGAUUCUCAACUGUCUUCUAGAGAUACAUACACUGUGAGAAGAGAGGAAGACCCCCGUGAGAAAGUUCAUAAACUGAAACUGCAAGACGAAGCUAAAGAGUCAAAAUUUAGAGUAAAACGUGACAACGAUAAUAUAGAAAAAAAGGAUGGAUUUCAAUCUUUCUCAGAUGUUCCUACUUCAUACUCAAGUUCACGCGAGAUACCAAAAAAGCGUUAUGAAAACAUACCUUUUGAACAACAACGUCCACCAAUAGCAUCUGCAUUUUCUUACUCUACAUCAGAGUUAAGCUCUCUACCAAAAAAUAUCAAAGCUGGCCAUCAAGUUUCUCGUUCCGUUGAUUUGUCUUUUCCUUCUCAAAGAUCUUUAGAUGAUCACUAUCGAAGACAAUCAAAUGCGUCAGACUACGGCCAGUCAUUAAAUAAUAAUUUUAGACAAGAGGAGGAAAAGCAGCCACCAAAACUUUCGAAUUGGUCUAAACCAAAACCUUUACCACCAAGCUUUCGAUCAUAUAAUCCUCCUUCUCCUACUCGUUCCGAUGGACCGGCAAGAAUUCCUUGCGUAAGCGCUCAGGAGAAAUGCCAAGGUUGUGGGGAGGUCUUAGGCUCCGGAGCAGCAAUGCUUAUUGAGUCUUUAGGAUUACAUUAUCAUUUGAACUGCUUCAUUUGCAGUGUUUGUAGAGAACAGUUGGCCUCAGGAUACGAUAAAGGUGCAGAUGUUCGGGUUAGAGGGAAAAAAUUACACUGUCAAGACUGCUAUUCUAAUGAACAAGGUAUUUGA
Molecule: unclassified non-coding RNA, 3939 nt
Filed under: Dimorphilus gyrociliatus
Lineage: Eukaryota; Metazoa; Annelida; Polychaeta; Dinophilidae
Description: dgyrCDS3471
Source: RNAcentral